GGAGCUUGCUUCUCUUGAGAGCGGCGGACGGGUGAGUAAUGCCUAGGAAUCUGCCUAGUAGUGGGGGAUAACGUUCGGAAACGGACGCUAAUACCGCAUACGUCCUACGGGAGAAAGUGGGGGAUCUUCGGACCUCACGCUAUUAGAUGAGCCUAGGUCGGAUUAGCUAGUUGGUGGGGUAAAGGCUCACCAAGGCGACGAUCCGUAACUGGUCUGAGAGGAUGAUCAGUCACACUGGAACUGAGACACGGUCCAGACUCCUACGGGAGGCAGCAGUGGGGAAUAUUGGACAAUGGGCGAAAGCCUGAUCCAGCCAUGCCGCGUGUGUGAAGAAGGUCUUCGGAUUGUAAAGCACUUUAAGUUGGGAGGAAGGGCAGUAAGUUAAUACCUUGCUGUUUUGACGUUACCGACAGAAUAAGCACCGGCUAACUCUGUGCCAGCAGCCGCGGUAAUACAGAGGGUGCAAGCGUUAAUCGGAAUUACUGGGCGUAAAGCGCGCGUAGGUGGUUUGGUAAGUUGGAUGUGAAAGCCCCGGGCUCAACCUGGGAACUGCAUCCAAAACUGCCAAGCUAGAGUACGGUAGAGGGUGGUGGAAUUUCCUGUGUAGCGGUGAAAUGCGU
This 620-nucleotide ribosomal RNA is filed under the name Pseudomonas sp. 26(2013b). RNAcentral's name for it is "bacterial SSU rRNA". It matches the Rfam family "Bacterial small subunit ribosomal RNA", at positions 75 to 691 of the family's 1533-position model. Lineage: Bacteria; Pseudomonadati; Pseudomonadota; Gammaproteobacteria; Pseudomonadales; Pseudomonadaceae. The record is from RNAcentral.